GGUGGUUAGUAGUAAAGGGAGACAGAGAAGAGAAUGUAAGAGUUGGGAGAGAGGGAGAGAGAGGAGAAGAAGGUGAGAAUUGGGGGUUGAAAAAAAACCGACGGCGAGUUGAGAAAGAAUCGGUGGUAGGGUGUGUGUUUAGUAGGGGGAGAGAUGGGUUUUGAAAGAGAAAAAGAGGGAGGGAGAGGGAGAAGAAGAAGAAAGAAGAGAGGAGAAAAAGAGGGAGAGA
Molecule: long non-coding RNA, 229 nt
Filed under: Elaeis guineensis (African oil palm)
Lineage: Eukaryota; Viridiplantae; Streptophyta; Magnoliopsida; Arecales; Arecaceae
Description: long non-coding RNA (EGUI_LNC071269)
Source: RNAcentral